UCCCAGCAGUCCAAGUCGCAGCCACAUUUAUUGGGUCUAAAACAUCCGUAGCUUGCUUUAUAAGUCUCUUGUGAAAUCGGGAAUCUUAAGUUUCCGGCGAGCAAGAGAUACUGUUUAGCUAGAGACCGGGAGACGUAAAGAGUACGGUUAGGGUAGCGGUAAAAUGCGUUGAUCCUUUCUGGACUAACAAUAGCGAAGGCACUUUACGAGAACGGAUCUGACAGUGAGGGAUGAAGGCUAGGGGCGCAAAUUG
Molecule: ribosomal RNA, 253 nt
Filed under: uncultured archaeon
Lineage: Archaea
Description: partial 16S ribosomal RNA
Rfam family: Archaeal small subunit ribosomal RNA
Source: RNAcentral